This 702-nucleotide ribosomal RNA is filed under the name uncultured Serratia sp. RNAcentral's name for it is "bacterial SSU rRNA". It matches the Rfam family "Bacterial small subunit ribosomal RNA", at positions 778 to 1480 of the family's 1533-position model. Lineage: Bacteria; Pseudomonadati; Pseudomonadota; Gammaproteobacteria; Enterobacterales; Yersiniaceae. The record is from RNAcentral.
UUAGAUACCCUGGUAGUCCACGCUGUAAACGAUGUCGAUUUGGAGGUUGUGCCCUUGAGGCGUGGCUUCCGGAGCUAACGCGUUAAAUCGACCGCCUGGGGAGUACGGCCGCAAGGUUAAAACUCAAAUGAAUUGACGGGGGCCCGCACAAGCGGUGGAGCAUGUGGUUUAAUUCGAUGCAACGCGAAGAACCUUACCUACUCUUGACAUCCAGAGAACUUAGCAGAGAUGCUUUGGUGCCUUCGGGAACUCUGAGACAGGUGCUGCAUGGCUGUCGUCAGCUCGUGUUGUGAAAUGUUGGGUUAAGUCCCGCAACGAGCGCAACCCUUAUCCUUUGUUGCCAGCGGUUCGGCCGGGAACUCAAAGGAGACUGCCAGUGAUAAACUGGAGGAAGGUGGGGAUGACGUCAAGUCAUCAUGGCCCUUACGAGUAGGGCUACACACGUGCUACAAUGGCAUAUACAAAGAGAAGCGACCUCGCGAGAGCAAGCGGACCUCAUAAAGUAUGUCGUAGUCCGGAUUGGAGUCUGCAACUCGACUCCAUGAAGUCGGAAUCGCUAGUAAUCGUAGAUCAGAAUGCUACGGUGAAUACGUUCCCGGGCCUUGUACACACCGCCCGUCACACCAUGGGAGUGGGUUGCAAAAGAAGUAGGUAGCUUAACCUUCGGGAGGGCGCUUACCACUUUGUGAUUCAUGACUGGGG